Molecule: ribosomal RNA, 253 nt
Filed under: uncultured bacterium
Lineage: Bacteria
Description: partial 16S ribosomal RNA
Rfam family: Bacterial small subunit ribosomal RNA
Source: RNAcentral
UACGUAGGGUGCGAGCGUUAAUCGGAAUUACUGGGCGUAAAGCGCGCGCAGGCGGGUCAUCAAGUCAGAGGUGAAAUCCCAGAGCUCAACUCUGGAACUGCCUUUGAAACUGGUGACCUUGAGUACGGGAGAGGUGAGUGGAAUUCCCAGUGUAGAGGUGAAAUUCGUAGAUAUUGGGAAGAACACCGGUGGCGAAGGCGGCUCACUGGCCCGUAACUGACGCUCAGGCGCGAUAGCGUGGGGAUCAAACAGG